Molecule: ribosomal RNA, 857 nt
Filed under: uncultured Enterobacteriaceae bacterium
Lineage: Bacteria; Pseudomonadati; Pseudomonadota; Gammaproteobacteria; Enterobacterales; Enterobacteriaceae
Description: bacterial SSU rRNA
Rfam family: Bacterial small subunit ribosomal RNA
Source: RNAcentral
UUGGGAGCUCUCCCNUAUGGUCGACCUGCAGGCGGCCGCGAAUUCACUAGUGAUUAGAGUUUGAUCCUGGCUCAGAUUGAACGCUGGCGGCAGGCCUAACGCAUGCAAGUCGAACGGUAACAGGAAGCAGCUUGCUGCUUUGCUGACGAGUGGCGGACGGGUGAGUAAUGUCUGGGAAACUGCCUGAUGGAGGGGGAUAACUACUGGAAACGGUAGCUAAUACCGCAUAACGUCGCAAGACCAAAGAGGGGGACCUUAGGGCCUCUUGCCAUCGGAUGUGCCCAGAUGGGAUUAGCUAGUAGGUGGGGUAACGGCUCACCUAGGCGACGAUCCCUAGCUGGUCUGAGAGGAUGACCAGCCACACUGGAACUGAGACACGGUCCAGACUCCUACGGGAGGCAGCAGUGGGGAAUAUUGCACAAUGGGCGCAAGCCUGAUGCAGCCAUGCCGCGUGUAUGAAGAAGGCCUUCGGGUUGUAAAGUACUUUCAGCGGGGAGGAAGGGAGUAAAGUUAAUACCUUUGCUCAUUGACGUUACCCGCAGAAGAAGCACCGGCUAACUCCGUGCCAGCAGCCGCGGUAAUACGGAGGGUGCAAGCGUUAAUCGGAAUUACUGGGCGUGAAGCGCACGCAGGCGGUUUGUUAAGUCAGAUGUGAAAUCCCCGGGCUCAACCUGGGAACUGCAUCUGAUACUGGCAAGCUUGAGUCUCGUANAGGGGGGUAGAAUUCCNNGUGUAGCGGUGAAAUGCGUANAGAUCUGGGAGGAAUACCGGUGGGCGAAGGCNGCCCCCUGNACNAAGACUGANNCUCAGGUGCGAAAGCGNNGGGGANNAAACAGGAUUAGAUACCCUGGNUANUC